CCUACGGGAGGCAGCAGUGGGGAAUAUUGCACAAUGGGGGAAACCCUGAUGCAGCGACGCCGCGUGAGUGAAGAAGUAAUUCGUUACGUAAAGCUCUAUCAGCAGGGAAGAAACACUGACCUUACGGUCAGCAGACGGUACCUGAGUAAGAAGCACCGGCUAACUACGUGCCAGCAGCCGCGGUAAUACGUAGGGGGCAAGCGUUAUCCGGAUUUACUGGGUGUAAAGGGAGCGUAGACGGUGCGCCAAGUCUGGAGUGAAAUGCCGCAGCUUAACUGCGGAACUGCUUUGGAAACUGGCGAACUAGAGUGCGGGAGGGGUAAGCGGAAUUCCUAGUGUAGCGGUGAAAUGCGUAGAUAUUAGGAAGAACACCGGUGGCGAAGGCGGCUUACUGGACCGUAACUGACGUUGAGGCUCGAAAGCGUGGGGAGCAAACAGGAUUAGAUACCCGGGUAGUC
This 458-nucleotide ribosomal RNA is filed under the name uncultured bacterium. RNAcentral describes it as "partial 16S ribosomal RNA". It matches the Rfam family "Bacterial small subunit ribosomal RNA", at positions 338 to 795 of the family's 1533-position model. The record is from RNAcentral.